RNAcentral lists this ribosomal RNA (510 nucleotides) under uncultured bacterium. RNAcentral's name for it is "partial 16S ribosomal RNA". It matches the Rfam family "Bacterial small subunit ribosomal RNA", at positions 28 to 507 of the family's 1533-position model. The record is from RNAcentral.
GACGAACGCUGGCGGCGUGCUUAACACAUGCAAGUCGAACGAAGAGCGACGGAAGCUUGCUUCUAUCAAUCUUAGUGGCGAACGGGUGAGUAACGCGUAAUCAACCUGCCCUUCAGAGGGGGACAACAGUUGGAAACGACUGCUAAUACCGCAUACGAUCUAACCUCGGCAUCGAGGAUAGAUGAAAGGUGGCCUCUACAUGUAAGCUAUCACUGAAGGAGGGGAUUGCGUCUGAUUAGCUAGUUGGAGGGGUAACGGCCCACCAAGGCGAUGAUCAGUAGCCGGUCUGAGAGGAUGAACGGCCACAUUGGGACUGAGACACGGCCCAGACUCCUACGGGAGGCAGCAGUGGGGAAUCUUCCGCAAUGGACGAAAGUCUGACGGAGCAACGCCGCGUGAGUGAUGACGGCCUUCGGGUUGUUAAGCUCUGUUAAUCGGGACGAAAGGCCUUCUUGCGAAUAGUGAGAAGGAUUGACGGUACCGGAAUAGAAAGCCACGGCUAACUACGUG